CCGCAAACACAGUAACAGAGUAUUUCAAAACUCAAUUUAAGAAAAGCAAAUCAUAAAAAAAACUUCACAUCACGCGAACGGGAAUCGAGAGAAAUAUGCAGAGAAUGCUUAACGCAACAAGAAUCACGACUGGCCCCACGGCGAUUCCGACCACCACAACAAGAAUCUCUCUCUGUUUCGCACUCCUUAGGGUUUUCUCGACUCUUCGAUUUUGGGGCUUAAACCCUCNAUUUUGAUUUCGAUUUAGGGCUUUCGAUUCACGUUUCUGUGUCCUAAGGAGCACCAAAUCUCGUUUUGAUUUCGGGAGGCGAGAAAGGGGAAGAAGAGGAAUAGUCAUGCUUGAGCGGAAGACGAGUGUAGGUGGUGGCUUCGCGCCGGGGACCACUGGUUUCUGAAAUUUAGGGGAGUGAGGCACGCAGAGACAGAACCAUCUGCAGUUUUCUUUCUCUGAUCCAGUGUCAAUUAUUUAUAUUGAGCAACCUUGUUAAAGUCGUACCUAAAAGAACAUACAACGAAUUUCAGAACAACAUUCUUCUGGCCGUCAAACACAACCCUUAACACAACAAGCAUACCAAGAACCAGCAGGAAUGGCAACAUAUUCGUUCCUCGGGCAAAACGGGUUGCGGUGAUUGAACCCCAAAAUCAAUGCUUCCAGAUAAAGGAGGAGAUUGGGGCACCGUUUGAAUCAACCUAUUAAACCCUAAAACACUUCCUAAUUUGAACUCUGACAGGAAGGUUGGUGUCGGCGAUGGAGAGGGGAAAGGGGUUGCGGAGGAAGCACAAGGGGCAGAUGAAAAACCAAAAAAAAAGUAAUUCAAAUGUUAAAAAAAAAAAUUACGUGGCAGAGAGUGCACAGUGAGACGUGGCAGUGUUGUUAGCCACCUCACCAAAAAAUUAACGCCG
RNAcentral lists this long non-coding RNA (903 nucleotides) under Vigna radiata. RNAcentral describes it as "long non-coding RNA (VRAD_LNC012114)". Lineage: Eukaryota; Viridiplantae; Streptophyta; Magnoliopsida; Fabales; Fabaceae. The record is from RNAcentral.